This 394-nucleotide ribosomal RNA is filed under the name uncultured bacterium. RNAcentral's name for it is "bacterial SSU rRNA". It matches the Rfam family "Bacterial small subunit ribosomal RNA", at positions 364 to 775 of the family's 1533-position model. The record is from RNAcentral.
UUAGUAAUGGGCGAAAGCCUGAACUAGCAACGCCGCGUGUGCGAAGAAGGCCUUCGGGUUGUAAAGCACUUUUUGAGAGGAUGAGGUAGGACGGUACUCUCAGAAUAAGUCUCGGCUAACUACGUGCCAGCAGCCGCGGUAACACGUAGGAGGCGAACGUUAUCCGGAUUUACUGGGCGUAAAGCGCGUGUAGGUGGUUUGGUAAGUAGGGCGUGAAAGCUCCUGGCUCAACUGGGAGAGGCCGUUCUAAACUGCCGAACUAGAGGAUGGUAGAGGGAGGUGGAAUUCCGGGUGUAGCGGUGGAAUGCGCAGAUAUCCGGAGGAACACCAGUGGCGAAAGCGGCCUCCUGGACCAUUCCUGACACUCAGACGCGAAAGCUAGGGUAGCGAACGG